CCUUCGAUAGCUCAGUUGGUAGAGCGGUGGACUGUAGACGGACAAUAGACAUCCAUAGGUCGCUGGUUCAAAUCCGGCUCGAAGGA
This is a transfer RNA of Danaus plexippus plexippus, 86 nucleotides long. It matches the Rfam family "tRNA". Rfam says of the family: Transfer RNA (tRNA) molecules are approximately 80 nucleotides in length. Their secondary structure includes four short double-helical elements and three loops (D, anti-codon, and T loops). NCBI's taxonomy places the organism in Eukaryota, Metazoa, Arthropoda, Insecta, Lepidoptera, Nymphalidae. The record is from Rfam.